UAGCGGCGGACGGGUGAGUAACACGUGGGUAACCUACCUAUAAGACUGGAAUAACUCCGGGAAACCGGGGCUAAUGCCGGAUAAUAUUUAGAACCGCAUGGUUCUAAAGUGAAAGAUGGUUUUACUAUCACUUAUAGAUGGACCCGCGCCGUAUUAGCUAGUUGGUGGGGUAAUGGCUUACCAAGGCAACGAUACGUAGCCGACCUGAGAGGGUGAUCGGCCACACUGGAACUGAGACACGGUCCAGACUCCUACGGGAGGCAGCAGUAGGGAAUCUUCCGCAAUGGGCGAAAGCCUGACGGAGCAACGCCGCGUGAGUGAUGAAGGUCUUCGGAUCGUAAAACUCUGUUAUUAGGGAAGAACAAAUGUGUAAGUAACUGUGCACGUCUUGACGGUACCUAAUCAGAAAGCCACGGCUAACUACGUGCCAGCAGCCGCGGUAAUACGUAGGUGGCAAGCGUUAUCCGGAAUUAUUGGGCGUAAAGCGCGCGUAGGCGGUUUCUUAAGCCUGAUGUGAAAGCCCACGGCUCAACCGUGGGGGGUCAUUGGAAACUGGGAAACUUGAGUGCAGAAGAGGAAAGUGGAAUUCCAUGUGUAGCGGUGAAAUGCGCAGAGAUAUGGAGGAACACCAGUGGCGAAGGCGACUUUCUGGUCUGUAACUGACGCUGAUGUGCGAAAGCGUGGGGAUCAAACAGGAUUAGAUACCCUGGUAGUCCACGCCGUAAACGAUGAGUGAUAGGUGUUAGGGGGUUUCCGCCCCUUAGU
Molecule: ribosomal RNA, 765 nt
Filed under: uncultured bacterium
Lineage: Bacteria
Description: bacterial SSU rRNA
Rfam family: Bacterial small subunit ribosomal RNA
Source: RNAcentral